AACAGGGUGGCCUCAAACUCCUUGUCUGCCUGCUUGUCUCCCAAGUGCUAGGACUGAAGAUGUGUACCACCAUCACCCCAUGGUUGUGAUGAAGCAAUAAGAAUUUGAUGAAUAAUGGAUUACUUGAUAAGAUAUACCUGAAGACCAAGCUGUUCCUAAAAGACACCCCACCACGCCACAGGGGAGUCUAGCAUGGCUGCCCUCCAAGAGGCC
Molecule: long non-coding RNA, 213 nt
Organism: Mus pahari (shrew mouse)
Lineage: Eukaryota; Metazoa; Chordata; Mammalia; Rodentia; Muridae
Exons: 3
Source: RefSeq, a predicted model, not a curated record